UACGUAGGGCGCAAGCGUUGUCCGGAAUUAUUGGGCGUAAAGAGCUCGUAGGCGGCCUGUCGCGUCUGCUGUGAAAUCCCGGGGCUUAACCCCGGGCGUGCAGUGGAUACGGGCUGGCUGGAGGCAGGCAGGGGAGAAUGGAAUUCCCGGUGUAGCGGUGGAAUGCGCAGAUAUCAGGAGGAACACCUAUAGCGAAGGCAGCUCGCUGGGACGACACUGACGCUGAGACGCGAAAGCGUGGGGAGCGAACAGG
RNAcentral lists this ribosomal RNA (253 nucleotides) under uncultured bacterium. RNAcentral describes it as "partial 16S ribosomal RNA". It matches the Rfam family "Bacterial small subunit ribosomal RNA", at positions 524 to 776 of the family's 1533-position model. The record is from RNAcentral.